Molecule: long non-coding RNA, 1487 nt
Filed under: Nicotiana benthamiana
Lineage: Eukaryota; Viridiplantae; Streptophyta; Magnoliopsida; Solanales; Solanaceae
Description: long non-coding RNA (NBEN_LNC019173)
Source: RNAcentral
UUGUUUCGUUUUUAUUUAUAUACAAUAAUCUACCUAAGCUAUCUAUAUUUGACUAAGAUGAGCUUAAAUGGAGCCAAAUGGACAGCGGGAAUUUGUAUAGCCAACCCAAACUUGCUUGACAUUGACGCAUAGUAGUUGUUAUAUGCUGUCUAUUGGUAGUCUAAUUUUUCUGUCAUUGGAGCGAGUUUAUGUUGCUAGAAAUUUAUUUUAUGCUAAAAAAUCAAAAUAUGAGUUGUGCGCUAGUGCCUAUUGAAUAUUUGCAGUUAUUUUUUCUUCUUCCUACUGUCAACAAUUGGUGUGCAAUUGGGUUGCUUGCUUCCAUAGAGCACAUGUUAUUUCUAAUAAGCCGUUGAUUCUAAUGUGGAAAGGCCUCCUGGUGAGUUGGGGAAGGAGCAGUUCCGUUUCAAGGCUCCUACAACAUGGAGCAAGUAAAAAACAAGGAGGAGCUUUAGAGAACUGACCUUGCUAAUGUUUGGCAUUUGUGAAGAAGCCAGAAAAGGAACUUUCAAGUGGUUCUGCACUCAUAGAUGCUUAAUUAGAGAUGAUUGGUGUUGUUGCUGCGUUUUUGGCUUUCGUUGGCUACAGAAGUUUCUGUCUGUUUAUUCAGUUAUCUUCUUAUUCCUACCAAAUUGUCCUAUUUCUGCUCUAAUUUUCCCAGUUCCAAGCAGUUUUGGUCAUUUGAGGCGCAGCUGUUGUUGUUGCAAGUGGUUUUGGUCAUUUGGAGACUUCUUAAACUUGACCACCUGUCUUGCCAGAAUGUGCUUUCGAAUGGGAAAAAAAGUUGGGGAAUGGAUACAAAUGACGUUGGGGCAUUCUAUUCCUUCAAGUCCCACAGCUCUAAAUGUGCCUAUUCCUUCGACACCUUUCCACCAUAUUGGGAGUCCAACUUGUUGCGUCAUAAUUUAGAUUUUAUGCAUAUUGAAAAAACUUAUGCGAUAAUAUCAUAUAUACAUUGCUCCAUGUUAAAUCAAAAUCAAAAGACGAUACCUUUCCAUGGAAACAGCGGAAAAAUGGCUUAUUCCGCAUCAACCUAAGCCUGCUUAUUCCGACUAAGUGAUCCAUUGGCGAAAAGAGGGCCUUCCUCCUCCUUGCUUGAAGCUCUGUCAAAGAAGCAUUCUAUUCCGAAAAGGCUUAGGGCUAGGCUAAACCUCCCUCAAAGCCAUGAAGUCUCAGAGCUCUUAUUCCAAGAACUGGUGGGUUCAAGAUAGAGAGGGAGAGCCCUUCCAUUUCUUUUCUUUGAUGCACACGACUUUUUCACGGAGUCUGCUUCCACAGUUGCUUGAGUUUUGCUCAGGGAGUUUCACUUAACUACUUUGUCAAAGUGCUAUAUUGAUGUCUUAUUCUUCUAAUGAUCAUAUAAUACUUGCCGCAUGUCAUUUAACUUUGAACUUGCCCUCCUACCUGUUCUCUUCUUGUCCCAAAUUCUUUAUUUUAUUCUAACAUUUUUAUAAUAUCUUCUACUCAUAUUGUGUUCUACAACUGCUUCA